GCGGACGUAGCCAAGUGGAUCAAGGCAAUGGAU
RNAcentral lists this transfer RNA (33 nucleotides) under Hymenasplenium hondoense. RNAcentral describes it as "partial tRNA-His". The record is from RNAcentral. Lineage: Eukaryota; Viridiplantae; Streptophyta; Polypodiopsida; Polypodiales; Aspleniaceae. RNAcentral also lists the same sequence under 10 other names.